GAUGAACGCUGGCGGCGUGCCUAAUACAUGCAAGUCGAGCGAACAGACGAGGAGCUUGCUCCUCUGACGUUAGCGGCGGACGGGUGAGUAACACGUGGAUAACCUACCUAUAAGACUGGGAUAACUUCGGGAAACCGGAGCUAAUACCGGAUAAUAUAUUGAACCGCAUGGUUCAAUAGUGAAAGACGGUUUUGCUGUCACUUAUAGAUGGAUCCGCGCCGCAUUAGCUAGUUGGUAAGGUAACGGCUUACCAAGGCGACGAUGGGUAGCCGACCUGAGAGGGUGAUCGGCCACACUGGAACUGAGACACGGUCCAGACUCCUACGGGAGGCAGCAGUAGGGAAUCUUCCGCAAUGGGCGAAAGCCUGACGGAGCAACGCCGCGUGAGUGAUGAAGGUCUUCGGAUCGUAAAACUCUGUUAUUAGGGAAGAACAAAUGUGUAAGUAACUAUGCACGUCUUGACGGUACCUAAUCAGAAAGCCACGGCUAACUACGUG
RNAcentral lists this ribosomal RNA (497 nucleotides) under uncultured bacterium. Its description in RNAcentral is "partial 16S ribosomal RNA". It matches the Rfam family "Bacterial small subunit ribosomal RNA", at positions 28 to 507 of the family's 1533-position model. The record is from RNAcentral.